CCUACGGGAGGCAGCAGUGGGGAAUAUUGCACAAUGGGGGAAACCCUGAUGCAGCGACGCCGCGUGAGUGAAGAAGUAUUUCGGUAUGUAAAGCUCUAUCAGCAGGGAAGAAGAAAGACGGUACCUGACUAAGAAGCCCCGGCUAACUACGUGCCAGCAGCCGCGGGAAUACGUAGGGGGCAAGCGUUAUCCGGAUUUACUGGGGGUAAAGGGAGCGUAGACGGCCGUGCAAGUCUGAAGUGAAAGCCCAGGGCUCAACCCUGGGACUGCUUUGGAAACUGUGGAUCUAGAGUGCUGGAGAGGUAAGUGGAAUUCCUAGGGUAGCGGUGAAAUGCGUAGAGAUGAGGAGGAACACCAGUGGCGAAGGCGGCUUACUGGACAGUAACUGACGUUGAGGCUCGAAAGCGUGGGGAGCAAACAGGAUUAGAUACCCCAGUAGUC
RNAcentral lists this ribosomal RNA (441 nucleotides) under uncultured bacterium. RNAcentral describes it as "partial 16S ribosomal RNA". It matches the Rfam family "Bacterial small subunit ribosomal RNA", at positions 338 to 795 of the family's 1533-position model. The record is from RNAcentral.